Molecule: transfer RNA, 73 nt
Filed under: Perca fluviatilis (European perch)
Lineage: Eukaryota; Metazoa; Chordata; Actinopteri; Perciformes; Percidae
Description: tRNA-Val
Source: RNAcentral
GUUUCGUUAGUGUAGCGGUUAUCACGUUUGCCUCACACGCGAAACGUCCCCAGUUCGAAACUAGGUGGAAACC